UUUCCGAAGCAUCCGUGCCCAGUCAGCACA
RNAcentral lists this small RNA (30 nucleotides) under Bombyx mori (domestic silkworm). RNAcentral's name for it is "ovarian small RNA-38295". Lineage: Eukaryota; Metazoa; Arthropoda; Insecta; Lepidoptera; Bombycidae. The record is from RNAcentral.